GUCUUCGAGGAGCGUUGCGACGGAUGUCACCCAUCCGCCAGGCUCGAAGGCGCUCAAUACGGCCAGUUCGCGGUUUUCAUGCCACGAACGCACCGCACUGAAAAACGGCGCUCACGUCUU
RNAcentral lists this non-coding RNA (120 nucleotides) under Paraburkholderia tropica. Its description in RNAcentral is "SAH sequence". It matches the Rfam family "SAH (S-adenosyl-L-homocysteine) riboswitch aptamer". Lineage: Bacteria; Pseudomonadati; Pseudomonadota; Betaproteobacteria; Burkholderiales; Burkholderiaceae. The record is from Rfam by way of RNAcentral.